CCAACAAUCUGCGUUACUUUUUCUUUUGUGAAACCAGGCGUCACCCUCGACGGAUCUGUUUCUCUGCAAUUAGUUUGGCAGAGUAACGCAUAGUGAUGUCAAACAAAAAAAAACAAAUGAAGUUAAUAAGGAAACAAUCUUGGAUUUAAAGAAUCAAACCCCCCCCCCCCACCCCCAUUCUUCGAUUUGAUUUCCAGAGACAAUAGAAAAGAACAGAAAUGAGCGAUGGAGAGAACUCGGUGAUGGAAAUCGAAGAGGCUAAAAAAACUGAUACAAGAACAGAGUCGACAUCCAUAGAAGAAACAGAGGGACACGCUACGGAUUUGAGGACGAGGGAAUCUUAUGGAAGGACUGAUCGGAGACGAGAAAGAGAUCCAAGAUCCUCGGGAGAAAAGAUGGUAAAGGAGAAUGCAACUCAGACGAGUGAAUAUCCAGCUCGCACCGGUGUAGGAGAUAGUUACUAUUACCUAAAAAACGGUCGUUGUGGCUUUAGACUAAGUUGCAGAUUCAACCAUCCACCGGUGAGUGGAAACACAAAGAAAGAUUACUUUACUGUGUCUUAUUAGUUUCAAGAUAUCCUCUGUUGUCUAUUUUCUUUAGUACAUCGAAAUCAGAUGAGAUAUGGCAUGGUGCAACCGAGUCCCUAUCCAGUUUCUCCACAUCUUCCUGAGAGUAGUCAGAUGAGACAUGAAAUGGUGCAACCGAGUCCCUAUCCAGGUGCAAGAGAUUGUAGACAAUAUCUACAAACUCGGCGGUGUAGCUAUGGACCUAAGUGCCGAUUCAACCAUCCUCAUGCACCGGUCUGAAGGUUGGUCAUUGCAAUAAGAGACCGUCGUAACACGUAUUCUUAGGUUUUGGGAAGCUACAAAUGUGAAAAGGGUGGAGAGCUCAUGGGUGUAGAUCGGGUUUCCUCGAUGAAAAGAUGAGUAUCAGGCGUGUAAUAGUUGCAAUCCAACUUCACGGGUACGGUAGCCAAAUUCUUUGGUUUCAAAGUUUUAAGUUUGUAUUUCUGGAUCACCUUCAUAAAAAAUUAGAACAGUUGCUAAUAUCAAGAGUCAUCACCCAGACUAGAGCUGAGAACAACUCAAACAACGUCUGGCCUCAAACACAGUGCAGCCUUUUGUUUGAGAUGAUGAACAAAAAGAAAAGAGAAGAGAAUUAACAGCGGACAACCCUUCCACAAAGAGUAAUUACAC
Molecule: RNA transcript, 1196 nt
Organism: Raphanus sativus (radish)
Lineage: Eukaryota; Viridiplantae; Streptophyta; Magnoliopsida; Brassicales; Brassicaceae
Gene name: putative zinc finger CCCH domain-containing protein 9
Exons: 6
Source: RefSeq, a predicted model, not a curated record